UACGGAGGGGGCUAGCGUUGUUCGGAAUUACUGGGCGUAAAGCGCGCGUAGGCGGCUUUGUAAGUUAGAGGUGAAAGCCCGGAGCUCAACUCCGGAACUGCCUUUAAGACUGCAUCGCUAGAAUUGUGGAGAGGUAAGUGGAAUUCCGAGUGUAGAGGUGAAAUUCGUAGAUAUUCGGAAGAACACCAGUGGCGAAGGCGGCUUCCUGGGCUAAUACUGACACUGAGGUGCGAAAGCGUGGGGAGCAAACAGGG
This 254-nucleotide ribosomal RNA is filed under the name uncultured bacterium. Its description in RNAcentral is "partial 16S ribosomal RNA". It matches the Rfam family "Bacterial small subunit ribosomal RNA", at positions 524 to 777 of the family's 1533-position model. The record is from RNAcentral.